Molecule: ribosomal RNA, 496 nt
Filed under: uncultured bacterium
Lineage: Bacteria
Description: partial 16S ribosomal RNA
Rfam family: Bacterial small subunit ribosomal RNA
Source: RNAcentral
GACGAACGCUGGCGGCGUGCCUAAUACAUGCAAGUCGAGCGAACGGACGAUAAGCUUGCUUCUCUCAUGUUAGCGGCGCACGGGUGAGUAACACGUGGAUAACCUACCUAUAAUUCUGGGAUAACUUCGGGAAACCGGCGCUAAUACCAUAUGAUAUCUUGCUCCGUAUUGUUCGAUAGUGAGAUACGGCCUUGCGGUCUGUUAUAGAUGGAUACGCGCUUCAUUAUCUAGUUGGUACGGUAACGGCUUACCAAGGCGACGAUGCAUGACCGACCUGAGAGGGGGAUCGGCCACACAGGAGGUGACACACGACACAGAGACCGACGGGAGGCAGCAGUAGGGAAGCGUCCGAGAAGGGCGAAAGCUUGAAGGAGGAACGGAGCGUGAAUGAUGAAGGGCUUCGGAUCGUAAAACGCUGUUAGUAGGGAAGAACAUAUGUGUAAGUAACGGUGCACAUGUGGACGGUACGUAAACAGAAAGCCACGGCUAAUUAGGU